CUCCCCCCAACUCUUCCUUUUCUAACACCUCCUCUUCAAACCCUAUCAUUGUCCUCAUCCCUCCUCUCUAUCCCUCUUGUCCAUCUAACAUAAUUCUGAGCCCCUCCUACUCCCCUUCUUGUAUCUCUUUCUUAUUGAUAUAUGCCUUAUGAUCUUCUUCACCUUCUUUGUUUCUCAUAUCACCGACUUUUCUGCAUCAUCACCUUCACCAACCUCAUUAUGGUAUCCCCUAUGCCACCUCCCUAUAGCUAUUAUUUUCUUCCAUCUCCCGCUCUAUUCUC
RNAcentral lists this long non-coding RNA (281 nucleotides) under Elaeis guineensis (African oil palm). RNAcentral's name for it is "long non-coding RNA (EGUI_LNC036104)". The record is from RNAcentral. Lineage: Eukaryota; Viridiplantae; Streptophyta; Magnoliopsida; Arecales; Arecaceae.